This 1287-nucleotide ribosomal RNA is filed under the name metagenome. Its description in RNAcentral is "bacterial SSU rRNA". It matches the Rfam family "Bacterial small subunit ribosomal RNA", at positions 242 to 1520 of the family's 1533-position model. The record is from RNAcentral.
UAGCUAGUUGGUGAGGUAAAGGCUUACCAAGGCGACGAUCUGUAGCGGGUCUGAGAGGAUGAUCCGCCACACUGGAACUGAGACACGGUCCAGACUCCUACGGGAGGCAGCAGUGGGGAAUUUUGGACAAUGGGGGCAACCCUGAUCCAGCCAUGCCGCGUGAGUGAAGAAGGCCUUCGGGUUGUAAAGCUCUUUCGGCCGGGAAGAAAUCGCAUGGGUCAAUACCCUGUGUGGAUGACGGUACCGGAAUAAGAAGCACCGGCUAACUACGUGCCAGCAGCCGCGGUAAUACGUAGGGUGCGAGCGUUAAUCGGAAUUACUGGGCGUAAAGCGUGCGCAGGCGGUUUUGUAAGACAGGCGUGAAAUCCCCGGGCUUAACCUGGGAACUGCGUUUGUGACUGCAAGGCUAGAGUACGGCAGAGGGGGGUGGAAUUCCACGUGUAGCAGUGAAAUGCGUAGAGAUGUGGAGGAACACCAAUGGCGAAGGCAGCCCCCUGGGUCGAUACUGACGCUCAUGCACGAAAGCGUGGGUAGCAAACAGGAUUAGAUACCCUGGUAGUCCACGCCCUAAACUAUGUCAACUAGGUGUUGGGUGGGUAAAACCAUUUAGUACCGUAGCUAACGCGUGAAGUUGACCGCCUGGGGAGUACGGCCGCAAGGUUAAAACUCAGAGGAAUUGACGGGGACCCGCACAAGCGGUGGAUGAUGUGGAUUAAUUCGAUGCAACGCGAAAAACCUUACCUACCCUUGACAUGCCAGGAACUUGCCAGAGAUGGCUUGGUGCCCGAAAGGGAGCCUGGACACAGGUGCUGCAUGGCUGUCGUCAGCUCGUGUCGUGAGAUGUUGGGUUAAGUCCCGCAACGAGCGCAACCCUUGUCGUUAAUUGCCAUCAUUUGGUUGGGCACUUUAACGAGACUGCCGGUGACAAACCGGAGGAAGGUGGGGAUGACGUCAAGUCCUCAUGGCCCUUAUGGGUAGGGCUUCACACGUCAUACAAUGGUCGGUACAAAGGGUUGCCAAGCCGCGAGGCGGAGCCAAUCCCAGAAAGCCGAUCGUAGUCCGGAUUGCAGGCUGCAACUCGCCUGCAUGAAGUCGGAAUCGCUAGUAAUCGUGGAUCAGCAUGUCACGGUGAAUACGUUCCCGGGUCUUGUACACACCGCCCGUCACACCAUGGGAGCGGGUUCCGCCAGAAGUAGGUAGCCUAACCGCAAGGGGGGCGCUUACCACGGCGGGGUUCGUGACUGGGGUGAAGUCGGAACAAGGUAGCCGUAGGGGAACCUGCGGCUG